This 104-nucleotide small nuclear RNA is filed under the name Macaca nemestrina (pig-tailed macaque). Lineage: Eukaryota; Metazoa; Chordata; Mammalia; Primates; Cercopithecidae. The record is from RNAcentral.
GUGCUCACUUUGACAGCACAUAUACUACAACUAUAACAAAACAGAGAUUAGCAUGGACCCUGUGCAAGGAUGACACAAAAAUUCAUGAAGCAUUCCGUAUUUUU